AACGUCGUUACGAUGGCCGUAACACAGCGUCAGUCAUUAAAACUGUGGCCGGGCACGUUGGGGUCCUAACUGGGUUACGUAUCCUCCUUUUCAGUUUUGUCUAAUGAACAGGAUUUAAUUGGUAAGCUUUUCAAGUUUGUCUUACAUGUGCAUUAGUGCCGUUCGUGUUUUUACGGAUAGGAUAGUUAGUAUUAAAGUAAUUGUACUGAAUUACAGUUUGUUUAUUUAUUUUACACAGUAAUAGAUGUUGAAGCCAGGUCCUUCUAUGUUCAGUGCAAGCGUUUGACCAUACUGACCUGUUCCGUGUUUGGUAGCUGAGGCAGGCCUUGAAUUUACCAUCGUCCUGCCCCUCCCAAGUAGCGGAUUACAAAUCUCAGCCACCAGGUCUAGCUCAGAUGAUGAAUUGUUAAUGCAGAAUAUAAGCCAUCAUCUUAAAAAUGUGUUACUAGAAGAUAAACAAUCCGGUUUUGUUCAUUUGUAUUCUGUAUGUGCUGUGGUUUAUGUCUGUGCUAUGUAUUUUAUAGGAAAGGCUAUUCUUAAUAGCUCUGUUAACAUUCCUGGGAUUAUUUUAAUGAAGAUUAUUUGAGACUUUUAAAGAAUACUUGGAUUACUUUGACUACCUCUCCUAACACGUAUCAUUGUUAUUACCCAUGUCGAAUCACGGGUUUAUGAACUAGCCGAGCCUCUGCUGAUGCUGAUCUUCAUGUUACAUCUUUAAUGUAAGGCCAUGGUCUUGAUCUUCAUGUUACAUCUUUAAUGUAAGGCCAUGGUCUUGAUCUUCAUCACAGCAUAAGUUAAGCAGUAACAAGAAGGAAGCAUGUCUGUGCACAGCAAAUGUUUUUCUCGUGAGUCACACUUCACACUGUUUGUUUGUAUUAUCUUUAAGGGUAGUAAGAGGUUUCUGUGUUAUAAAAUUUACCUUUGAGGUUCACAAAGACAAUAUUUCUUAAAACAACCUUUAGGUUUUAUCUCCAAGUAAGAAAAACAUUUUUAUGUAGUAUCACUUGAAAAGAUUUACUGUUUAUAAAGAUUCUAUGUUGAUAUUAUAUGCUAAAUAAUUCUGGUUAUUAUAUCUAAAUCUAUCUUACAUGAAACUUUUGACAUACUUAACAGAUAAGUGGCUUACAAGCCUUUUGAUACUACAUUAAAAUGAUUUGUGUAUUAUUACUUGGUGUGAUGUGUGUAUUUGGGUGCAGGCUUGUGGAGAUCACAGGCCAACUCUUGGGAGUUGGUUGUGUCCUCUCUGCCUUUCUGUAGGUCCUAGGUAUUGAGCGAGUGCUUUACCUGUGAGCCCUGCUGACCGACACUGCACUUCUGAACCUGAGACUAGGUGUGCAGCCCCUUAGAAACGCUUCUGUUUAUCUGCGUUUUGUCCUCUUUUUUUCUUCUGGAAUCAGUACAGGAAAGAUAAUUUUCAGCUAUACAUAUGUUUCUUUUUAACCUCUUUUUUUCACCUCUUGUGCCACCUUCUGGAAGAAGGAAACCAAGCAUUUUUUGAAUCAAAUUUGGUUUCCAGGUCCUGUUUUCUUUAGUUGGGAUUGGCAGUUUACUACUGUUGUAGCUGUUGAUUGGCUACUACUGUUGUAGCGUUUCCAUCCAGGCAGCUAAUCUGCUCUGUUCUCAGUGCUUUUCUCAGUGAGGUUUGCUCCUCACAUGACAUCGUAUGAUGUUGUUCCAAAUGAAUUCUGGCAUGGUUUACUGUGUUAGGACGGAUUCCCUGGAUUCUACUUUCUAUGGAGCCGUAAUGAUGGUAGGAAAUUCUAGUAGGUUUAGACAGUGGUCACUGCUUCAUUAUUCUUGACAUUUGACUCUGUCUUGCUAAUGGGCUCUGUAAACACAUGACAGUUGGCUCAAUGCUAGUUUCUGUAUAAUCAGUACAGGCUCAACUGUAAGUAUGUCAACGACACUGUUUCCUGUGCUCUCCCAUUGUGUUUUUCAGCAUUGGUACUUAAAUGUAGGUCCUCACAUAUGCUAGUGACAUGCUGUUUCUCUGUCUAAUGAAAUCCAGACUUUGUGUUUUGUCAAAUAGUUCUGGGUUUUCUUUCCUUUUAGUUUUUGCUGUACUGGGAAAUGAACCCAGGACCUCAUAUAUUUUAGGCAGGUGCUCUGUUAUUAAGCUAUAUUCUGACCAUUUAAUAGUUUUUAAUUAAAGAGUAUUCAUACCAUGUUUUGAUUGUGUUGUCCCCCAAGUCCUUCAAGAUCCCCCACCCUGCCCACCAACCUUUAUGUUCAUUAUGCCUUGUCUUUCCCUUCCUUCUCCCGUCCUUCCUCUCAAUCAAGUGAAAAAUCAACAAAUCAGUAAGAAAAAACAUAAUAAAACAAAACCAACAAAAAGUCACACCCCGAAAAAAAGAAAAAAACCCAGAAACAAAACAGAUCCUCUUGUGUGGGCCAAUUCCUCCUGGUAACAGGGCUUGUCCAGUAGUGUGGUUGGUUCACCCAGUGUCAUUCCACUGUAGAAAGCUGAGUUUCCAUUUCAACGCAAGGAUCAGUUGUAAAUAGCUUCUUGAUUAGGGGUGGGACUCCAUAUCCAGUUGCCCUCUCAGUGAUAGGACCCUGUCUGGGUUAUCCCUAUGUAGGGCUUGUGUAUGCUUCCUCAGUUUGCAAGUUCAUGUGAGUAUCAAUCCUGCUGUGUCUGCAGAACACUGUUUCCUUAGGUCAUCUAUCACCACUGGCUCUUAAGCAUUUCCACCUCCUCUUUGGAUAGUUCCCUGAUCCUUGAGGGAGGGGUUUUUACAGUUUCCACUGCUGUGAACAAAUGGGCGUUUAAUUAGGGCUGCCUUACAGGUUCAGGGGUUCAGUCUAUUAUCACCGUGCAUGGCAGCAUGCAGGCAGACACAGAGAAGGAGCUGAGGGUUCUACAUCUUGAUCUGAGGGAAGGCAGGGGAAGACUAGCAUCUGCAAGCAGCAAGGAACAUGAGCAUAGGAUCUCAAAGCCCACCCCCACAGUGACACACUUCCUCCAGCAAGGCCACACCUCCUAAUGGUGUCAUUUCCCACGGGCCAAGCAUAUUCCAACCACCACAACAUCCAUUCAAGACUAAGUGCUCCGAGACCUGCUCUGUGCAUUGUCUAGUUGUGAGUCUCUGUGCUGACUCCUAUCUGUUGUGAGAAGUUUCUCUGAUGAGUGUUGAGCACAGCACCGAAUCUGUGGGCAUCACCUUUUUUUUUUUAAAGAUUUAUUUAUUAUAUAUAAGCACAUAAAAUCUAUCUGUCUGUCUGUCUGUCUGUCUGUCUACCUAUCUAUCUAUCUAUAGCUGUCUUCAGACACACUAGAAGACGGCAUCAGCUCUCAGUACAGAUGGUUGUGAGCCACCAUGUGGUUGCUGGGAAUUGAACUCAGGACCUCUGGAAGAGCAGUCAGUGCUUUUAACCACUGAGCCAUCUCUCCAGCCUGGAUAUUACCUUUUAAUUAACUAAUUUUUUAGCUUAAUUUUUCCUUUUAUUGAGAAUAGAUUUUUUCCUUUCUAAUCUAUAUGGUUUGUGGUUUCUGCUUCCUCUAUCCUAGCUCCUCCCAGCCUCCCCGUCCAUUCAAAUCCACACCCUCUUACUGGCAAACAAACGGGUUUCUGUGGGACAGUAGUGAAGUGAAAUAGGAUAACAAACACUAGCAUCAGAAUAGGACAAAACAAAGAAACAAAAGGCAAGGAGCCCAGGAAGCAGACCCUUGUUUGCAUUCAGGAAUCCCCUCACAAACACUAAACUUAAAUCCCUCUUAUAACUGCAGAGGACCUGGAGCAGAUGCGUGCAGGCCCAGCACGCGGCCUCAGUCUCUCAGUGCACAGGACCUUUGUUCACUUUGGUCAGAGCCUCUGUCUCCGGCUCCCGUUCCCUCCCGCUCUCCCACUCUUUCUGCCUCUUCUCGCUGAUCCGAGGGGAAGGAUUGGAUGGAUGCAUCCUGUUUAAGGGCUGAGUGAUCCAAGAGCUCUCAUUCCUUGUACAAUAUCUGCCUGUGGGUUUCUGUAUUUUUUCCAAAUGCUGCAGGAGGAAACUUCUCUGGUGAUGGUUGAGCAAGGCACUGAUGUGUGAGUAGAGGAGAAUUCCUUCAGGAGUCAUUUAUUGCUGUAUUUUCCAUUCCUUUCCUUUCCUUUUUUUUUUUUUUUUUUAAGGCUAGUAUUUGGUUUUACUCUAGUUCUUGGUCACCCAUCAGUGUUGGGUGUGGGUUCCAGAUUGUGGAGUGGGCCUUAAGUCAGAUCAGUUCCUGGUUGGUUACUCCCACAAACUUUGUGUCACUGUUGCCUUCGCAUCUGUUGUAGGCAGGUCACCGUAAUGGGUCGACGGUUCGUGUCUUAGUUGAUGCUGAUUUUCUCCCUUUGGUUGCUUGAAGAGUAGUACCGUUCUGUACACUUAGGUGUGGCAGCUGCCCGUUCUGUGUGGGUACACCGAGUUGUAUGUGAACUGUCUUCACCAGUGAUGCCUCGCUGUUGCUGUGUGGACAGUGACCUGUAGUUUUGGCACCAGCCUGGUUUGUUUGAGGGAGGGAGGUGGAGUUAUAUGGGACUUCUUUGGCUACCAGCUCAAUUAGAUGCAUCUCAUUCUCAUCAUUGGGAUUUUCAUCUGGUGACGAGAGAUGGCUGGAUGGGGCUUUGACUCCCCAUUACUUGGCAGUUUCAUUUAGAUCUUCAUCAUAUAUGCAUAUAUUUUAGGAAGAUUGUACUGUGUUAGGUUUCUGUAAUACUCCUCGAAUGUCCCUUAAUUUUAGUGAUCUCCCUGUUCCUUCCCUCAUCCCCGUUCCCUCCCC
Rattus norvegicus (Norway rat) is the source of this 4741-nucleotide non-coding RNA. The record is from RefSeq and is a predicted model, not a curated record. Lineage: Eukaryota; Metazoa; Chordata; Mammalia; Rodentia; Muridae.